RNAcentral lists this RNase P RNA (381 nucleotides) under Rhodomela confervoides. Its description in RNAcentral is "rnpB". The stretch from base 2 to 175 matches the Rfam family "Bacterial RNase P class A", at positions 44 to 222 of the family's 367-position model. Lineage: Eukaryota; Rhodophyta; Florideophyceae; Ceramiales; Rhodomelaceae. The record is from RNAcentral.
GAGGAAAGUCCGGGCUCUAUUUAUGAAGAUAUAGUUGUAUAAAAUACAAUGUAGGAAACUAUGAGGAUCGUGCCACAGAAAUAUACCGCCUAUUUUUAGGUAAGGGUGCAAUGGUUCGGUAAGAGCGUACCAGGAAUAUUGUUAAGAUAUUUGCUAGGUAAACCCCAUAUUAGAGCAAAGUAAUAAGUAUAUUGUAAUGAGUUUAUAAGCGUUACUUAAUUCUAAAUUAUUAUACUUUUUAAUUUAUAUACUGCGUAAAGUAAUUUUAUUACUUUAGAUUAAUAAUUACCCUUUUCUGUAGAAAAAAUUACUUUUAUUUUUUGUAAUCUUUUGUUCUAACUAGUAAUUGACUACUAUGAGAAAGAACAAAACCCGGCUUAU